This is a long non-coding RNA of Folsomia candida, 232 nucleotides long. RefSeq lists it as uncharacterized. The transcript has 2 exons. Lineage: Eukaryota; Metazoa; Arthropoda; Collembola; Entomobryomorpha; Isotomidae. The record is from RefSeq and is a predicted model, not a curated record.
CUCCAGGUCUUUUUGGAAGUAAUUGUGUUUUUUGAAUGAUACAUGUUGUUAAAAAGUAUAAACCACCUGGCAUCAAAUUGUGCAUAUCGUCUGCGUCUGAGCAUAAACUAAUAUUUGGACGUGGGCUUGUAUGAUACAAAUUGUCAUAAUACUCUGGUCAGUUUUUUUUGACAAAUUUUCUGUAAUUUUUAAAUACUUGAACUCUGCAAUAAACCAUUUAAUUCACUGGUAC